UGUUUGGUGAAGAAGAGAUAGAAAAAUUGAGGAAAAAUAAUACAGAGAGUGUUUUGAGGACAGAGAUGCCGAGAUGGAUGAGACUUGGUGCUCAGAUGAAUAAUUUUUGUUUUCAAGUGUUAAAUUGCAAAAAGGAAGCAAAAAUGAUGCCUUGUGGAAUUUUGAACAAAAAGGGUGCCAAUUCUGAAAUUCUGGUAGCAGUAGAACCUGACUUUUGUCACCAUUUUUGACCUAGGAAACUCAAGAACUGGACUUCCAUCAUAACAUCAAAGAUUUAGAGCUCUGAAUCAUCUUUCCAAAUCUUCAAGCGGUUUGUCAUUCGGAGUUCGGAGUAGAGAGUUAUGAUUUUCUUAUCAGAGGUGCUCAGAACUGCCUGGCAGCAAUGAAUUUCUGCCUUGCUCUUCAAUUUCGACCUACCAGACUUGAUAAUUGGAUCUUCACCAAUGCAUAAAGUUUUUAGAUCUCUGAAUUAGCUUUCCAAAUAUUCAAAUGGUUCAUCAUUCAGAGUUCAUAGCGCAAAGUUAUGGCUAUUUUACCAAAGCAGGUCCGGGCGAAUCAAUGCAAGCAUAGAGCAAUCUGCUCCAUUUUCGAGUGCUCGAGGCCUUAUUUCGAGCACUCGAAAUUGGGGCAGAAUUGCCUUUGGGAAUCCUCAUUUUGGCAGCCACUUUUGCAUUGGUUUCCUCAUUUCUACUUACUUCUUUAUGAGGUGGUUGGGGAUAUUUUUGGAGGAGAGAGAGAGCUUUGUUAGAGGAGAUAAGGCAAGGGAGGCCACACAUUUACAUUAACCUUCAUUUUUACAAGAUAGAGGAGAGAGGAUAGAGCAAAGGAAGGAGAGUUCUUGGAGCAAGAGAGGGGAGCUCGAAAAUGGAAAGAGGAUCCAUGGUUCUUCUUCAUUCUAAGGCUCCCAUGUGUAACUAACUCCUCCUCUAAGGAGGUAAUGGAACCCCUCAUUGUAAGCAUGCUUUACUUUUGAUUCUAGUUUGGGAAAAAUAAUGUAUUUUUGUGGUGAUUCCAUAAUCUAGAACUCUUACUUGAUGUAAUGAAUUGAUUUUGAUUUAAUGAUCAUGUUGGACCUA
This is a long non-coding RNA of Cornus florida, 1076 nucleotides long. RefSeq lists it as uncharacterized. The transcript is spliced from 2 exons. The record is from RefSeq and is a predicted model, not a curated record. Lineage: Eukaryota; Viridiplantae; Streptophyta; Magnoliopsida; Cornales; Cornaceae.